This 407-nucleotide ribosomal RNA is filed under the name uncultured bacterium. RNAcentral's name for it is "partial 16S ribosomal RNA". It matches the Rfam family "Bacterial small subunit ribosomal RNA", at positions 28 to 526 of the family's 1533-position model. The record is from RNAcentral.
GACGAACGCUGGCGGCGUGCCUAAUACAUGCAAGUAGGACGCAGUUGCGAACGGGUGAGUAACGCGUAGGUAUCUGCCCAUUAGAGGGGGAGAACUAUUGGAAACGAUAGCUAAUACCGCAUACUAGUAGAUGGAUCUGCGUUGUAUUAGCUAGUAGGUAGGGUAAUGGCCUACCUAGGCGACGGUACAUAGCCGACCUGGGAGGGUGAUAGGCCAAACUGGGACUGGGACACGGCCCAGGCUCCUACGGGAGGCAGCAGUUGGGAAUCUUCGGCAAUGGGGGGAACCCUGACCGAGCAACGCCGCGUGGGUGAAAAAGGUUUUCGGGUCGUAAAGCUCUUUUGGUAAGGAAGCGGUACUUAACCAGAAAGGGACGGCUAACUACGUGCCAGCAGCCGCGGUAAUAC